RNAcentral lists this ribosomal RNA (385 nucleotides) under uncultured bacterium. RNAcentral's name for it is "bacterial SSU rRNA". It matches the Rfam family "Bacterial small subunit ribosomal RNA", at positions 28 to 408 of the family's 1533-position model. The record is from RNAcentral.
GAUGAACGCUAGCGGCAGGCUUAAUACAUGCAAGUCGUGGGGCAGCAUGAGUAGCAAUACUUGAUGGCGACCGGCAAACGGGUGAGGAACACGUACACAACCUUCCUUCAAGCGGGGAAUAGCCCAGAGAAAUUUGGAUUAAUACCCCAUAAUAUAUUUGAUAAGGCAUCUUAUUAAUAUUAAAGCUUCGGCACUUGAUGAUGGGUGUGCGGCUGAUUAGAUAGUUGGCGGGGUGACGGCCCACCAAGUCUACGAUCAGUAGCUGAUGUGAGAGCAUGAUCAGCCACACGGGCACUGAGACACGGGCCCGACUCCUACGGGAGGCAGCAGUAAGGAAUAUUGGACAAUGGACGAAAGUACUGAUCCAGCCAUGCCGCGUGAAGGA